Molecule: ribosomal RNA, 412 nt
Filed under: uncultured microorganism
Description: bacterial SSU rRNA
Rfam family: Archaeal small subunit ribosomal RNA
Source: RNAcentral
GUGCAGCAGGCGAGAAACCUCCGCAAUGCGGGAAACCGCGACGGGGGACCCCGAGUGCCGUGGCAACGCCACGGCUUUUCCGGAGUGUAAAAAGCUCCGGGAAUAAGGGCUGGGCAAGGCCGGUGGCAGCCGCCGCGGUAAUACCGGCGGCCCGAGUGGUGGCCGCUAUUAUUGGGCCUAAAGCGUCCGUAGCCGGGCCCGUAAGUCCCUGGCGAAAUCCCACGGCUCAACCGUGGGGCUUGCUGGGAUACUGCGGGUCUUGGGACCGGGAGAGGCGGGGGGUACCCCUGGGGUAGGGGUGAAAUCCUAUAAUCCCGGGGGGACCGCCAGUGGCGAAGGCGCCCCGCUGGAACGGGUCCGACGGUGAGGGACGAAGGCCAGGGGAGCAAACCGGAUUAGAUACCCCCGUAGU